GUAGUCUCGCACAGAUGCAUAUCAAUAAGCGGAGGAAAAGAAACUAACAAGGAUUCCCUUAGUAACGGCGAGUGAAGCGGGAAGAGCUCAAAUUUGAAAUCUUCAAGGUUUUACCUUGACGAAUUGUAGUUUAAAGAAGUGUUUUCUGUUGAAGUUUUGGUAAAAGUUCUUUGGAAUAGGACAUCAUAGAGGGUGAGAAUCCCGUAUUUGACCAUUAUUUUCAGCUGUGUGAUACACUUUCAAAGAGUCGGAUUGUUUGGGAAUGCAGUCCAAAAUGGGUGGUAAAUUUCAUCUAAGCUAAAUAUUGGCGAGAGACCGAUAGCGAACAAGUACCGUGAGGGAAAGAUGAAAAGAACUUUGAAAAGAGAGUUAAACAGUACGUGAAAUUGUCAAAAGGGAAGCGUUUGACACCAGUGUUGUUUUCUCGAAAAUCAAUUAAAAAGAGUUAGAUUUUGUUGUGUAUUGACCUUAACAGCUUGCAUUUCAAUUUUCUUGCUUUUUUUAAUGCACUUUUCGUUUAACAAGUCAACAUCAGUUUCUUUUGUUGUAAAAAGGUCAUUGGAAGGUGGCUUUCUUUUCGGAGAAAGUGUUUAUAGCCUUUGACUCCUGCAAUCGGAGAGACUGAGGUCUGCAGCGUAGAUCCUUCGGGGUUAGAUACAUUUGUGCUAAGUUAUAGCUUUUUAUAGACAACUUGUUGACUAUGAUUAGUCUUGUAGCUUACUCGCUUAUGCUAUUUUACCUACGCUUAGGAUGUUGAGCGCAUGUCUCUCUCU
RNAcentral lists this ribosomal RNA (773 nucleotides) under uncultured Neocallimastigales. RNAcentral describes it as "partial large subunit ribosomal RNA". It matches the Rfam family "Eukaryotic large subunit ribosomal RNA", at positions 24 to 616 of the family's 3401-position model. Lineage: Eukaryota; Fungi; Neocallimastigomycota; Neocallimastigomycetes; Neocallimastigales. The record is from RNAcentral.